This 1631-nucleotide ribosomal RNA is filed under the name Salmonella enterica. RNAcentral describes it as "partial 23S ribosomal RNA". It matches the Rfam family "Bacterial large subunit ribosomal RNA", at positions 711 to 2238 of the family's 2925-position model. Lineage: Bacteria; Pseudomonadati; Pseudomonadota; Gammaproteobacteria; Enterobacterales; Enterobacteriaceae. The record is from RNAcentral. RNAcentral also lists the same sequence under 1 other name.
AGACCCGAAACCCGGUGAUCUAGCCAUGGGCAGGUUGAAGGUUGGGUAACACUAACUGGAGGACCGAACCGACUAAUGUUGAAAAAUUAGCGGAUGACCUGUGGCUGGGGGUGAAAGGCCAAUCAAACCGGGAGAUAGCUGGUUCUCCCCGAAAGCUAUUUAGGUAGCGCCUCGUGAAUUCAUCUCCGGGGGUAGAGCACUGUUUCGGCUAGGGGGCCAUCCCGGCUUACCAACCCGAUGCAAACUGCGAAUACCGGAGAAUGUUAUCACGGGAGACACACGGCGGGUGCUAACGUCCGUCGUGAAGAGGGAAACAACCCAGACCGCCAGCUAAGGUCCCAAAGUCAUGGUUAAGUGGGAAACGAUGUGGGAAGGCCCAGACAGCCAGGAUGUUGGCUUAGAAGCAGCCAUCAUUUAAAGAAAGCGUAAUAGCUCACUGGUCGAGUCGGCCUGCGCGGAAGAUGUAACGGGGCUAAACCAUGCACCGAAGCUGCGGCAGCGAACGUAUCACCCAAGACAACUUUACGGAGUUGACGAUUGACGGAGCGAAGCGACGUCAAAGCGUUCAUUAAAGUCGAGUUGGCUUAGGGAUACGUUCGUUGGGUAGGGGAGCGUUCUGUAAGCCUGUGAAGGUGUGUCGUGAGGCAUGCUGGAGGUAUCAGAAGUGCGAAUGCUGACAUAAGUAACGAUAAAGCGGGUGAAAAGCCCGCUCGCCGGAAGACCAAGGGUUCCUGUCCAACGUUAAUCGGGGCAGGGUGAGUCGACCCCUAAGGCGAGGCCGAAAGGCGUAGUCGAUGGGAAACGGGUUAAUAUUCCCGUACUUGGUGUUACUGCGAAGGGGGGACGGAGAAGGCUAUGUUGGCCGGGCGACGGUUGUCCCGGUUUAAGCGUGUAGGUGUGUGUUCCAGGUAAAUCCGGUUCACUUUAACACUGAGGCGUGACGACGAGGCACUACGGUGCUGAAGCAACAAAUGCCCUGCUUCCAGGAAAAGCCUCUAAGCAUCAGGUAACACGAAAUCGUACCCCAAACCGACACAGGUGGUCAGGUAGAGAAUACCAAGGCGCUUGAGAGAACUCGGGUGAAGGAACUAGGCAAAAUGGUGCCGUAACUUCGGGAGAAGGCACGCUGACACGUAGGUGAAGUGAUUUACUCACGGAGCUGAAGUCAGUCGAAGAUACCAGCUGGCUGCAACUGUUUAUUAAAAACACAGCACUGUGCAAACACGAAAGUGGACGUAUACGGUGUGACGCCUGCCCGGUGCCGGAAGGUUAAUUGAUGGGGUCAGCGCAAGCGAAGCUCCUGAUCGAAGCCCCGGUAAACGGCGGCCGUAACUAUAACGGUCCUAAGGUAGCGAAAUUCCUUGUCGGGUAAGUUCCGACCUGCACGAAUGGCGUAAUGAUGGCCAGGCUGUCUCCACCCGAGACUCAGUGAAAUUGAACUCGCUGUGAAGAUGCAGUGUACCCGCGGCAAGACGGAAAGACCCCGUGAACCUUUACUAUAGCUUGACACUGAACAUUGAGCCUUGAUGUGUAGGAUAGGUGGGAGGCUUUGAAGUGUGGACGCCAGUCUGCAUGGAGCCGACCUUGAAAUACCACCCUUUAAUGUUUGAUGUUCUAACGUGGACCCGUAA